Molecule: ribosomal RNA, 441 nt
Filed under: uncultured bacterium
Lineage: Bacteria
Description: partial 16S ribosomal RNA
Rfam family: Bacterial small subunit ribosomal RNA
Source: RNAcentral
CCUACGGGUGGCAGCAGUGGGGGAUAUUGCACAAUGGGGGAAACCCUGAUGCAGCGACGCCGCGUGGGUGAAGAAGUAUUUCGGUAUGUAAAGCCCUAUCAGCAGGGAAGAAAGAAGACGGUACCUGACUAAGAAGCCCCGGCUAACUACGUGCCAGCAGCCGCGGUAAUACGUAGGGGGCGAGCGUUAUCCGGAUUCGCUGGGUGUAAAGGGAGCGUAGACGGCCGUGCAAGCCAGGAGUGAAAGCCCGGGGCCCAACCCCGGGACUGCUGUUGGAACUGUGCGGCUGGAGUGCGGGAGGGGCAGGCGGAAUUCCUGGUGUAGCGGUGAAAUGCGUAGAUAUCAGGAGGAACACCGGCGGCGAAGGCGGCCGGCUGGACCGCGACUGACGUUGAGGCUCGAAAGCGUGGGGAGCGAACAGGAUUAGAUACCCCAGUAGUC